This 1039-nucleotide long non-coding RNA is filed under the name Coturnix japonica (Japanese quail). RNAcentral's name for it is "lncRNA (ENSCJPG00005012019.1)". Lineage: Eukaryota; Metazoa; Chordata; Aves; Galliformes; Phasianidae. The record is from RNAcentral.
CUUAGGAAGUUACACUCCCUUAAACUAACAAACCUCCUGAACUUCCCUUAACCCAUAAAUCUGAAGCUCCCUUCAAGCAAUAAAGGUCUUAAACCUCCCUAACUCCAUAAAUAUGUCAGGGCCCUGCUUUGCACUGAAAACCUUGACCUUUCUAAACAGCCCAAGGGUGGAUUUCAGAGGCAUUCAAGUUGCUUUGCUGAGAUCUUUCUCCUUUGAAGCUGAUGAGAGUUUUGUCACGGACUUCAAUCAGGAAGAGAUUUCACUCCCAGUAGGAAAGCUGUGAUUCCAUCACUGCUUCUAUUCAUAACCAUUGUCUCUCAAGAUCAGGAGGGAACCAUCACUUCCUCUCAAACUGCUGAGAUAAUGACCAGCCUAAACUAUGAAUGCUACCAACAAAGAGUUCUAAAAGACAGAAAGAUGACAAACAUUUAUUUUGUCACUGUCAUCAGUAUUUAUAUAGACAGCAUUCGUAAUACUGCAGCAUAACUGGAAUGCAUUUACUCCCUUUUGGAAAGAUCAGUUUAUCACAGAGAUGUAGGAAGGACAACUAAACUAGAUAUGUGAAACUUCUUUGGCUGACCUGAUCUUGAAUCUGAGGCUGAUUCUUCAGUAAUCUAUCUAUAUAUUUUUUUCUUGAAAUGCAGUCAGUUACAUUCAACAUGAAAUAUUUUUUGUCAUUUUCAGAACGUUUUUCAGGACAAAAAUCUACUUUCUAUCCAGCUCCAGUUCUGGAUAUCUGAUGGACAAUGUUGUUAAUGAACACGAGCUUUCAGUGCAACUUUGAAACUAAUAUACACUAAAAGAAGUUGUAAAUGUGAAUUGUAUUUAUUAUGCCUUAUUCUUUAAGAAGAAUCUCAUGCACCUACUUGCUUUCAUAGCUUAAUCCUAACAACUCCUAUAAACCACCAGGGAGGUGACUCUCCACUCGUGCUCUCCUGCUUCAUUACAAGCAUAUGGCUAUAAAUAUCUCUCUAUGAAAGCUGCUGCACGCCCAAGGGUUUUGAAGGCAGCUCCCAGACCUGAGUCCUUCCCAUUGCUC